UAAUACGAAGGGGGCUAGCGUUGUUCGGAUUUACUGGGCGUAAAGCGCACGUAGGCGGAUUGGUCAGUUAGGGGUGAAAUCCCGAAGCUCAACUUCGGAACUGCCUUUAAUACUGCCAGUCUCGAGUCCGGAAGAGGUAAGUGGAACUCCUAGUGUAGAGGUGGAAUUCGUAGAUAUUAGGAAGAACACCAGUGGCGAAGGCGGCUUACUGGUCCGGAACUGACGCUGAGGUGCGAAAGCGUGGGGAGCAAACAGG
This 256-nucleotide ribosomal RNA is filed under the name uncultured archaeon. RNAcentral's name for it is "partial 16S ribosomal RNA". It matches the Rfam family "Bacterial small subunit ribosomal RNA", at positions 521 to 776 of the family's 1533-position model. The record is from RNAcentral.